GCCGGGGCGGCUCCGCGCCGCGCGGGCAGGAGCGCCCGUGUCCUGUCCCCGGCCAGAGCCCAGCGCUGCCGCGGAGCCAGAACUGUGAACGAUCCUGGGCUUGGCUUGACCUUGAUUUUGAUAGCUUUGCUGGAAGAUUUGGUGAUGUGAUUGCACUUCAUGA
Molecule: long non-coding RNA, 163 nt
Organism: Nothoprocta perdicaria
Lineage: Eukaryota; Metazoa; Chordata; Aves; Tinamiformes; Tinamidae
Exons: 2
Source: RefSeq, a predicted model, not a curated record